UCCCUGAGGGUCCAGAGGCUCUGCACUUGCAAGGCAGGAGGCCCAGGUUCAAUCCCUGGUCUGGGAA
Molecule: transfer RNA, 67 nt
Filed under: Bos taurus (domestic cattle)
Lineage: Eukaryota; Metazoa; Chordata; Mammalia; Artiodactyla; Bovidae
Also listed under: 2 other names
Rfam family: tRNA
About the family: Transfer RNA (tRNA) molecules are approximately 80 nucleotides in length. Their secondary structure includes four short double-helical elements and three loops (D, anti-codon, and T loops). Further hydrogen bonds mediate the characteristic L-shaped molecular structure. tRNAs have two regions of fundamental functional importance: the anti-codon, which is responsible for specific mRNA codon recognition, and the 3' end, to which the tRNAs corresponding amino acid is attached (by aminoacyl-tRNA synthetases). tRNAs cope with the degeneracy of the genetic code in two manners: having more than one tRNA (with a specific anti-codon) for a particular amino acid; and 'wobble' base-pairing, i.e. permitting non-standard base-pairing at the 3rd anti-codon position.
Source: Rfam by way of RNAcentral